Molecule: ribosomal RNA, 434 nt
Filed under: uncultured bacterium
Lineage: Bacteria
Description: partial 16S ribosomal RNA
Rfam family: Bacterial small subunit ribosomal RNA
Source: RNAcentral
AGCGAACGCUGGCGGCAGGCCUAACACAUGCAAGUCGAACGAACCUUUCGGGGUUAGUGGCGGACGGGUGAGUAACACGUGGGAACGUGCCUUUAGGUUCGGAAUAACUCAGGGAAACUUGUGCUAAUACCGAAUGUGCCCUUCGGGGGAAAGAUUAAUCGCCUUUAGAGCGGCCCGCGUCUGAUUAGCUAGUUGGUUGAGGUAAUGGCUCACCAAGGCGACGAUCAGUAGCUGGUCUGAGAGGAUGAUCAGCCACAUUGGGACUGAGACACGGCCCAAACUCCUACGGGAGGCAGCACUGGGGAAUCUUGCGCAAUGGGCGAAAGCCUGACGCAGCCAUGCCGCGUGAAUGAUGAAGGUCUUAGGAUUGUAAAAUUCUUUCACCGGGGACGAUAAUGACGGUACCCGGAGAAGAAGCCCCGGCUAACUUCGUG